UCCCUGGUGGCCCAGCGGUUAGGACUCAGAGCUUUCACUGCUGGGGCCCAGGUUCAAUCCCUGGUUAGGGAA
Molecule: transfer RNA, 72 nt
Filed under: Bos taurus (domestic cattle)
Lineage: Eukaryota; Metazoa; Chordata; Mammalia; Artiodactyla; Bovidae
Also listed under: 3 other names
Rfam family: tRNA
About the family: Transfer RNA (tRNA) molecules are approximately 80 nucleotides in length. Their secondary structure includes four short double-helical elements and three loops (D, anti-codon, and T loops).
Source: Rfam by way of RNAcentral